GAGAAGCUUGCUUCUCUGAUGUUAGCGGCGGACGGGUGAGUAACACGUGGAUAACCUACCUAUAAGACUGGGAUAACUUCGGGAAACCGGAGCUAGUACCGGAUAAUAUUUUGAACCGCAUGGUUCAAAAGUGAAAGACGGUCUUGCCGUCACUUAUAGAUGGAUCCGCGCUGCAUUAGCUGGUUGGUAAGGUAACGGCUUACCAAGGCAACGAUGCAUAGCCGACCUGAGAGGGUGAUCGGCCACACUGGAACUGAGACACGGUCCAGACUCCUACGGGAGGCAGCAGUAGGGAAUCUUCCGCAAUGGGCGAAAGCCUGACGGAGCAGCGCCGCGUGAGUGAUGAAGGUCUUCGGAUCGUAAAACUCUGUUAUUAGGGAAGAACAUAUGUGUAAGUAACUGUGCACAUCUUGACGGUACCUAAUCAGAAAGCCACGGCUAACUACGUGCCAGCAGCCGCGGUAAUACGUAGGUGGCAAGCGUUAUCCGGAAUUAUUGGGCGUAAAGCGCGCGUAGGCGGUUUUUUAAGUCUGAUGUGAAAGCCCACGGCUCAACCGUGGAGGGUCAUUGGAAACUGGAAAACUUGAGUGCAGAAGAGGAAAGUGGAAUUCCAUGUGUAGCGGUGAAAUGCGCAGAGAUAUGGAGGAACACCAGUGGCGAAGGCGACUUUCUGGUCUGUAACUGACGCUGAUGUGCGAAAGCGUGGGGAUCAAACAGGAUUAGAUANCCUGGUAGUCCACGCCGUAAACGAUGAGUGCUAAGUGUUAGGGGGUUUCCGCCCCUUAGUGCUGCAGCUAACGCAU
Molecule: ribosomal RNA, 803 nt
Filed under: uncultured Staphylococcus sp.
Lineage: Bacteria; Bacillati; Bacillota; Bacilli; Caryophanales; Staphylococcaceae
Description: bacterial SSU rRNA
Rfam family: Bacterial small subunit ribosomal RNA
Source: RNAcentral